AGUCGACGAUGAAUCUUCUAGCUUGCUAGAAGUGGAUUAGUGGCGCACGGGUGAGUAAUGCAUAGGCUAUGUGCCCUUUAGUCUGGGAUAGCCACUGGAAACGGUGAUUAAUACUGGAUACUCCCUACGGGGGAAAGUUUUUCGCUAAAGGAUCAGCCUAUGUCCUAUCAGCUUGUUGGUGAGGUAAUGGCUCACCAAGGCUAUGACGGGUAUCCGGCCUGAGAGGGUGAUCGGACACACUGGAACUGAGACACGGUCCAGACUCCUACGGGAGGCAGCAGUAGGGAAUAUUGCUCAAUGGGGGAAACCCUGAAGCAGCAACGCCGCGUGGAGGAUGAAGGUUUUAGGAUUGUAAACUCCUUUUGUUAGAGAAGAUUAUGACGGUAUCUAACGAAUAAGCACCGGCUAACUCCGUGCCAGCAGCCGCGGUAAUACGGAGGGUGCAAGCGUUACUCGGAAUCACUGGGCGUAAAGAGUGCGUAGGCGGGGUAAUAAGUCAGAUGUGAAAUCCUGUAGCUUAACUACAGAACUGCAUUUGAAACUGUUACUCUGGAGUGUGGGAGAGGUAGGUGGAAUUCUUGGUGUAGGGGUAAAAUCCGUAGAGAUCAAGAGGAGUACUCAUUGCGAAGGCGACCUGCUGGAACAUUACUGACGCUGAUGCACGAAAGCGUGGGGAGCAAACAGGAUUAGAUACCCUGGUAGUCCACGCCCUAAACGAUGGAUGCUAGUUGUUGCCUUGCUUGUCAGGGCAGUAAUGCAGCUAACGCAUUAAGCAUCCCGCCUGGGGAGUACGGUCGCAAGAUUAAAACUCAAAGGAAUAGACGGGGACCCGCACAAGCGGUGGAGCAUGUGGUUUAAUUCGAAGAUACGCGAAGAACCUUACCUAGGCUUGACAUUG
Molecule: ribosomal RNA, 898 nt
Filed under: uncultured bacterium
Lineage: Bacteria
Description: bacterial SSU rRNA
Rfam family: Bacterial small subunit ribosomal RNA
Source: RNAcentral